UACGUAGGAGACGAGCGUUGUCCGGAGUUACUGGGCGUAAAGGGCGCGCAGGCGGCCUGUCAGGUGUCUGGUGAAAGCUCCCGGCUUAACUGGGAGAGGUCCAGGCAAACCGUCAGGCUUGAGCGUCGGAGAGGGGCAUGGAAUUCCGGGUGGAGCGGUGAAAUGCGUAGAGAUCCGGAGGAACACCAAUGGCGAAGGCAGUGCCCUGGCCGACGGCUGACGCUCAGGCGCGAAAGCGUGGGGAG
RNAcentral lists this ribosomal RNA (245 nucleotides) under uncultured bacterium. RNAcentral describes it as "partial 16S ribosomal RNA". It matches the Rfam family "Bacterial small subunit ribosomal RNA", at positions 524 to 768 of the family's 1533-position model. The record is from RNAcentral.